Molecule: long non-coding RNA, 1303 nt
Filed under: Homo sapiens (human)
Lineage: Eukaryota; Metazoa; Chordata; Mammalia; Primates; Hominidae
Description: HSALNT0353950
Source: RNAcentral
UAGUGGCCAGGCUGGUCUUGAACUCCUGACCUCAAGUGAUCCACCCGCCUCGGCCUCCCAAAGUGCUGGGAUUACAGGCGUGAGCCACCACACCCAGCCUAGAGUUGUAUAGUUUUAAUUCUUCUACUUAGGUCUUUGAUCCAUUUUAAGUUAAUUUUGUACAUAGCGGUAAGUGUUCAACUUUAUUCUCUUGCAUUUGGCUACCAGUUGUUCCAGCACCAUUUCUUGAAAAUACUGAUCUUUCCCCCAUUAAAUUGUCUUGGCACCUGUGAUAUAGUGAAAUACAUGUUUGGUUUUCUUCCCCAUGUUCUGAUGUGCAGCUCCUAAAACCCUUAGAAUCUCUGGAGUGAUAAGAGUGUCUUUUGUAUGCUAAUGAGACGACUGGUGGCUGGGGACCCCUGGACAGCUUCAGGACAGGGGCUGGUCAACAGAAAGAUCAAGGCAUGGUUAGAGGACUGAGACUCUCAGCCCCAAACCCCAAGGAGUUGAUAACUAAGUUAUCAACUAAUGAUCAAUGAUCAAUUAUUUAGUCAAUCAUGCCUAUGUAAUGCAGCAUCCAUAAAACUCCAAAAGCACAGCAUUCUGGGAGCUUCCAGAUAGCUGGCCACAUGGAGAUUCCUGGAGGGAGGCAUGCCCAGCAAGAUCAUGGAAGCUCCGUGCCCCUUCUCCCAUUCCUUGCCCUAAGUAUCGCCUCCAUCUGGUUGUUUGUCUGUAUCCUUUAUUAAUAAACAAGUAAAUGUAAGUAAAGUGUUUCCCUGAGUUCUGUGAGCUGCUCUAGCAAAUUAAUAAAACCCAAGGAGGAAGUUAUGGGAACCCUGAUUUAGAGCCAGUUUCUCAAGAAUACUCACUUACUGGCAUCUAAAGUUUCUCAAGUACUACUCACUAUUGGCAUCUAAAAGUGGAGGGCAGUCUUGUGGGACUGGGCCCUCAGCCUGUCUCCAGGUAGACGAUAUCAGAAUGGAAUUGAAUUAGAGGACCCCUAAUGCCCACUGCAGAAUUGCUGGGUGUGUGGGGAGAUGACCUUCACACAUCCGGUAUCAGACGUAUUGUAUUGAGUGGUGUGUGAGUAGAGGGAAAAGCCACUUUUUCCCUAUAUCUUACAUAUUGGAUGCCUUUUCAUUUUAUUUCCUUGCCUAAUUGCCCAGGCUAAAACCUCUAGUACAAUGUUGAAUAAAAGUGUCAAGAGCUGACAUCCUUGUCUUGUCCCUGUUCAUGCAAGGAAAGCAUCUGGUCUUUCACCAUUCAGCAUCAUGUUAGCUGUGGAUUUCUUCUGGUGUUCUUUACUAUGCCAAGGAAAUUCCCU